Molecule: ribosomal RNA, 472 nt
Filed under: uncultured bacterium
Lineage: Bacteria
Description: bacterial SSU rRNA
Rfam family: Bacterial small subunit ribosomal RNA
Source: RNAcentral
ACUCCUACGGGAGGCAGCAGUGGGGAAUUUUGGACAAUGGGGGCAACCCUGAUCCAGCCAUUCCGCGUGAGUGAAGAAGGCCUUCGGUUGUAAAGCUCUUUCGGCAGGAACGAAACGGCGAGCUCUAACAUAGCUUGCUAAUGACGGUACCUGAAGAAGAAGCACCGGCUAACUACGUGCCAGCAGCCGCGGUAAUACGUAGGGUGCGAGCGUUAAUCGGAAUUACUGGGCGUAAAGCGUGCGCAGGCGGUUGUGUAAGACAGGUGUGAAAUCCCCCGGGCUUAACCUGGGAACUGCGCUUGUGACUGCACGGCUAGAGUAUGGCAGAGGGGGUGGAAUUCCACGUGUAGCAGUGAAAUGCGUAGAGAUGUGGAGGAACACCGAUGGCGAAGGCAGCCCCCUGGGCCAAUACUGACGCUCAUGCACGAAAGCGUGGGAGCAAACAGGAUUAGAUACCCCUGGUAGGAUAGCG